This 506-nucleotide ribosomal RNA is filed under the name uncultured Phaeocystis. RNAcentral's name for it is "partial Bacterial small subunit ribosomal RNA". It matches the Rfam family "Bacterial small subunit ribosomal RNA", at positions 11 to 515 of the family's 1533-position model. Lineage: Eukaryota; Haptophyta; Phaeocystales; Phaeocystaceae. The record is from RNAcentral.
GUUUGAUCCUGGCUCAGGACGAACGCUGGCGGCGUGCUUAACACAUGCAAGUCGAACGGAAAGGCCCUGCUUUUGUGGGGUGCUCGAGUGGCGAACGGGUGAGUAACACGUGAGUAACCUGCCCUUGACUUUGGGAUAACUUCAGGAAACUGGGGCUAAUACCGGAUAGGAGCUCCUGCUGCAUGGUGGGGGUUGGAAAGUUUCGGCGGUUGGGGAUGGACUCGCGGCUUAUCAGCUUGUUGGUGGGGUAGUGGCUUACCAAGGCUUUGACGGGUAGCCGGCCUGAGAGGGUGACCGGCCACAUUGGGACUGAGAUACGGCCCAGACUCCUACGGGAGGCAGCAGUGAGGAAUUUUGGACAAUGGGGGAAACCCUGAUCCAGCGACGCCGCGUGUGGGAUGAAUGGGUUAUGCCCUGUAAACCACUGUCAGCAGAGAAGAAAAGGCUCCUUUGGAGCCCGGGACUGUAUCUGCAGAGGAAGGACCGGCUAACUACGUGCCAGCAGC